This 2198-nucleotide ribosomal RNA is filed under the name Anaerococcus prevotii. Its description in RNAcentral is "partial 23S ribosomal RNA". It matches the Rfam family "Bacterial large subunit ribosomal RNA", at positions 1 to 2004 of the family's 2925-position model. The record is from RNAcentral. Lineage: Bacteria; Bacillati; Bacillota; Tissierellia; Tissierellales; Peptoniphilaceae.
UUGUUAGUUGCUAUGGGCGUUCGGUGGAUGUCUUGGCAUGAGUGGCUGAUGAAGGACGUGGCGGCCUGCGUUAUUCCCUGGGGAGUUGGCGAGCGAGCGUUGAUCUGGGGGUUUCCGAAUGGGGUAACCUAGCCUCCUGUUUUGGGGGUUACUGCGCACUGAAUUGAUAGGUGUGUGGGAGGUACGAGGGGAAGUGAAACAUCUUAGUACCCUUAGGAGAAGAUAUUUCGUGAGUAGUGGUGAGCGAAAGCGGAUGAUGGCUAAACCGUGUGCGUGUGAUACUCGGCAGGGGUUGCGUGUGCGGUGUUGUGGGGUCUUUUUGUUGCUUGUCUGCCGGCGAGUAGAUUCCGGGAUGAUUGUUUUGGCGAAGGGUUUGGAAUGGCCUGCCGUAGUGCGUGAGAGUCGUGUAGUUUUUGAUGAUUGUUCUGGUUUGGAGAAGGUGCCCGAGUAGUGCGGGACUCGUGGAAUCUCGUGUGAAUCUGCCCAGACCACUGGGUAAGCCUGAAUACUUACUUGUGACCGAUAGUGGAUUAGUACCGUGAGGGAAUGGUGAAAAGUACCCCGGGAGGGGAGUGAAAUAGUUCCUGAAACCGGGCGCUUACAAGCCGUCAGAGCCUGUUUGUUGGGUGAUGGCGUGCCUAUUGAAGAAUGAGCCUGCGAGUUAGUGGCAUGUGGCUUGGUUAACCCGUGUGGGGUAGUCGUAGCGAAAGCGAGUCUGAUAAGGGCGUUUGGUCGCGUGUUCUAGACCCGAAGCGGGGUGAUCUACGCAUGGUCAGGUUGAAGCUAUGGUAAGACGUGGUGGAGGACCGAACCCACUUCAGUUGAAAAUGGAGGGGAUGAACUGUGCGUAGGGGUGAAAGGCCAAUCAAACUCCGUGAUAGCUGGUUCUCCCCGAAAUGCAUUUAGGUGCAGCGUUGAGUUUAGGUUUGUGUGAGGUAGAGCUACUGGUUGGUCAAUGGGCCUUGUUGGUUACUGAGACCAGCCAAACUCCGAAUGCGCAUUAAACUAUUGCUUGGCAGUGAGACAGCGGGGGAUAAGCUUCGUUGUCAAAAGGGAAACAGCCCAGAUCGCCGGUUAAGGCCCCUAAGGGUAUGCUUAGUGGGAAAGGAUGUGUAGUUGCUGUGACAGCCAGGAGGUUGGCUUAGAAGCAGCCAUCCUUGAAAGAGUGCGUAAUAGCUCACUGGUUUAGUGAUUGCGCGCCGAUAAUUUAGCGGGGCUUAAGCAUACCGCCGAUACCGUGGCUUCCAUACGUGUGCUGGCUGCUCUUUGUUGGGUGGUUGGUGUGUGGUUGGGUAGGGGAGCGUCCUGCAUGAGGUGAAGUUUCGGAGUGAUCCGGGGUGGAUUGUGUGGGAGUGAGAAUGCAGGCAUGAGUAGCGAUUGAGAAGUGAGAAUCUUUUCCGUCUUAUAACUAAGGGUUCCAGGGGUAGGUUCGUCCGCUCUGGGUUAGUCGGGUCCUAAGGCGAGGCCGUCAGGCGUAGUCGAUGGUUAACCAGUUUUUAUUCUGGUACCGGCAUAUUCUCGUUCAGUGGUGAGGCGCAUAGUACUAACCAAUAUUUACUGCUGGUUUUCCCUUUCGGGGGUUUGCUGGUGGUGGUCUUGGGACCGAUGUGUGUAGUAGUCAAGCGUGUUAACAGGGGUGACGCAGUUAGAUAGCUCAGCGUCGUGAUGGUUUACGGCGUUCAAGCAUGUGGCCUAUCGGGUUGGUAAAUCCGCUCGUGUUUGGGUGAGGUGUGAUGGUGACCUGUUUUUGUGGGGAUAUUGGGUGAUUCUGUGCUGUCUAGAAAAGCCUCGGCGUUAGAGGGUGUGUUGCCCGUACCCUAAACCGACACAGGUGGUUUGGUAGAGAAUACUAAGACGUGCGAGUGAAUCAUGGUUAAGGAACUCGGCAAAAUGCCUCCGUAACUUUGGGAGAAGGAGGACCCGGCCUUUUACAUUACCUUUGCGGUUUUGGUGGGGGUUGGGGCGCAGAGACCAGGGGGAAGCGACUGUUUAUCAAAAACAUAGGUGUGUGCGAAGCCGUAAGGCGAUGUAUACGCACUGACGCCUGCCCGGUGCUGGAAGGUUAAGAGGAACCCUUAAUCGGCUUUUGUUGGUGAAGGGGUGAAUUUAAGCCCCAGUAAACGGCGGUGGUAACUAUAACCAUCCUAAGGUAGCGAAAUUCCUUGUCGGGUAAGUUCCGACCUGCACGAAUGGCGUAA